CCCGUUUUCAUAGCAGGAUGGGAGGGGGGGAAAUUAGCAUAUGGGCGUGACAAUGAUGACAAUGACAGAUUGUUUUUCACAAGUUAUGAGCAGCUGUUACUCGUUACCCUACGUUAUAUAACGCACGUAUAUUUGAAAAAGAAACAGAUAUUUACAAAUACCAAAAUCUUGGACAAUUAACAACAACAUUUUGAAAUCAGUAUGGUCAUUCU
This is a non-coding RNA of Pelobates cultripes (western spadefoot toad), 212 nucleotides long. The record is from the annotation of a GenBank genome assembly. NCBI's taxonomy places the organism in Eukaryota, Metazoa, Chordata, Amphibia, Anura, Pelobatidae.